GAUGAACGCUGGCGGCGUGCCUAAUACAUGCAAGUCGAGCGAACAGACGCGGAGCUUGCUCCUCUGACGUUAGCGGCGGACGGGUGAGUAACACGUGGAUAACCUACCUAUAAGACUGGGAUAACUUCGGGAAACCGGAGCUAAUACCGGAUAAUCUAUUGAACCGCAUGGUUCAAUAGUGAAAGACGGUUUUGCUGUCACUUCUAGAUGGAUCCGCGCUGCAUUAGCUAGUUGGUAAGGUAACGGCUUACCAAGGCAACGAUGCGUAGCCGACCUGAGAGGGUGAUCGGCCACACUGGAACUGAGACACGGUCCAGACUCCUACGGGAGGCAGCAGUAGGGAAUCGUCCGCAAUGGGCGAAAGCCUGACGGAGCAACGCCGCGUGAGUGAUGAAGGUCUUCGGAUCGUAAAACUCUGUUAUUAGGGAAGAACAAAUGUGUAAGUAACUAUGCACGUCUUGACGGUACCUAAUCAGAAAGCCACGGCUAACUACGUG
This 497-nucleotide ribosomal RNA is filed under the name uncultured bacterium. RNAcentral's name for it is "partial 16S ribosomal RNA". It matches the Rfam family "Bacterial small subunit ribosomal RNA", at positions 28 to 507 of the family's 1533-position model. The record is from RNAcentral.